AGGCGUUACCGGCGUCCUACCAUGCAAGUCGACGCGAAAGCCCCUUCGGGGGUAAGUAGAGUGGCGUCCGGGUGAGUAACACGUGGGUAAUCUGCCUUCGGGUGGGGAAUAACCCAGGGAAACUUGGGCUAAUACCGCAUAAUGCAGCGGCACCUAAUGGUGAUUAGUUGUUAAAGCGGGGGAUCGCAAGACCUCGCGCCUGAAGAGGAGCCUGCGGCAGAUUAGCUAGUUGGUGAGGUAAUGGCUCACCAAGGCUGCGAUCUGUAGCUGGUCUGAGAGGACGGCCAGCCACACUGGCACUGACACACGGGCCAGACUCCUACGGGAGGCAGCAGUGGGGAAUUUUGGGCAAUGGGCGAAAGCCUGACCCAGCAACGCCGCGUGAGGGAGGAAAUCCUUCGGGAUGUAAACCUCACAAGCAAGGGAAGAGAGCUGCGGGCUGAAUAAGUUCGCGGUGCGACGGUACCUUGCGUAAGCCACGGCUAACUACGUGCCAGCAGCCGCGGUAAUACGUAGGUGGCAAGCGUUGUUCGGAAUUAUUGGGCGUAAAGGGCGCGUAGGCGGUUUGUUAAGUCGGCUGUGAAAGCCCGGGGCUCAACCCCGGAGGGUCAGCCGAUACUGGCAGACUAGAGUACGGAAGAGGUAGCUGGAAUUCCCGGUGUAGCGGUGAAAUGCGUAGAUAUCGGGAGGAACACCUGAGGCGAAGGCGGGCUACUGGGCCGAUACUGACGCUGAUGCGCGAAAGCCAGGGGAGCGAACGGGAUUAGAUACCCCGGUAGUCCUGGCCCUAAACGAUGGACACUUGGUGUGUCGGGUAUUCCAGUCCCGAUGUGCCGGAGCUAACGCGUUAAGUGUCCCGCCUGGGGAGUACGGUCGCAAGGCUGAACUCAAAGGAAUUGACGGGACCCGCACAAGCGGUGGAGCAUGUGGUUUAAUUCGACGCAACGCGGAAGAACCUUACCUGGGUUAAAUCCCAGUUGCAAAGUGCAGAGAUGCAUUCCUCUCGCAGAG
This 1011-nucleotide ribosomal RNA is filed under the name uncultured bacterium. RNAcentral's name for it is "bacterial SSU rRNA". It matches the Rfam family "Bacterial small subunit ribosomal RNA", at positions 31 to 1025 of the family's 1533-position model. The record is from RNAcentral.